RNAcentral lists this ribosomal RNA (371 nucleotides) under uncultured bacterium. Its description in RNAcentral is "bacterial SSU rRNA". It matches the Rfam family "Bacterial small subunit ribosomal RNA", at positions 527 to 896 of the family's 1533-position model. The record is from RNAcentral.
GUAGGGUGCAGGCGUUAAUCGGAAUUACUGGGCGUAAAGCGUGCGCAGGCGGCUCCUUAAGUCAGAUGUGAAAUCCCCGGGCUUAACCUGGGAACUGCGUUUGAAACUGGGGGGCUUGAGUGUGGAAGAGGGGGGUGGAAUUCCAGGUGUAGCAGUGAAAUGUGUUGAUAUCGGGAGGAACACCCAUGGCGAAGGCAGCAAACUGGGCAUUAUCUGACGCUGAGGCGCGAAAGCGUGGGUAGCAAACAGGAUUAGAUACCCUGGUAGUCCACGCCCUAAACGAUGGAUACUAGGCGUAAGAGGUAUCGACCCCUCUUGUGCCGCAGCUAACGCAUUAAGUAUCCCGCCUGGGGAGUACGGCCGCAAGGUUG